GAUGAACGCUGGCGGCGUGCCUAACACAUGCAAGUCGAGCGAUCUUCUUCGGAAGAGAGCGGCGGACGGGUGAGUAACGCGUGGGUAACCUGCCCUGUACACACGGAUAACAUACCGAAAGGUAUGCUAAUACGAGAUAAUAUACUUUAUCGCAUGGUAGAAGUAUCAAAGCUCCGGCGGUACAGGAUGGACCCGCGUCUGAUUAGCUAGUUGGUAAGGUAACGGCUUACCAAGGCGACGAUCAGUAGCCGACCUGAGAGGGUGAUCGGCCACAUUGGAACUGAGACACGGUCCAA
This 296-nucleotide ribosomal RNA is filed under the name uncultured bacterium. RNAcentral's name for it is "partial 16S ribosomal RNA". It matches the Rfam family "Bacterial small subunit ribosomal RNA", at positions 28 to 334 of the family's 1533-position model. The record is from RNAcentral.